Camellia sinensis is the source of this 768-nucleotide non-coding RNA. The record is from RefSeq and is a predicted model, not a curated record. NCBI's taxonomy places the organism in Eukaryota, Viridiplantae, Streptophyta, Magnoliopsida, Ericales, Theaceae.
UACGUUGAUUACAAGGGAAGCAUUAAUAGUUUGGUAAAAUGAAGCUUGCCGCUUAUGGUAAAUAAACUUUCGGAAUGAUGGUGGUUGUGAAAAGAGAGUUAACUUGAAGAUAAUUGCAUAUGAGCUAAGAAGGUGAAAUCAUAAAAAAUUUAGAAGUAUUCUUAGAUGCUGUGCCUUGUUGGAAUUAUGAGGACUCCAUUCUAUAGGUUGACAACUGUUAGCACGUAUGUUGAGCUAUUCUAAACAUAUUAGUUCCUUCUGAAAUAAAAUUGCAUGUGCUGCUUAAAAAGUAUUUUGUACCUCUAGACUAAAUAAAAUUGACAGAACCUUAUGGGAGAGAAACUGUAUAAAAUUUCUGAGUGGCUUCAACAUUAGAAUAUAUUUCUUUAUCUAUUAGAUAUAUUAUACUUUUUAGUCAUGUCAGAGAUGCCAGAAGCGUAGGGUGAUUUGAUAAUUUAUGUGAAAGGACACAACACAAAAAUAUGCAUCUUUUGGUGAUCAACAUGAAAGUGGAGAGAGACUCGGCCCUUUCCUCUAAAUCUUGAAAGCAUAGAGAGAGAGGCUUGUUCUCCGACAAGGAUUUGAGCUCUCUGGUAUGACAAAGUAGAAAAAGGAUCCACAAGUUGUAACUGGUUCUCAUGAUACAACGAUAAAGUUCUGGGAUCUUAGAUUUGGUAAAACGAUGACAACCCUUACACACCAUAAGAAAUCUGUGCGAGCAAUGGCUUUACACCCCAAAGAGAAUUGUUUUGCAUCUGCAUCAGCUGA